RNAcentral lists this ribosomal RNA (478 nucleotides) under uncultured bacterium. RNAcentral's name for it is "partial 16S ribosomal RNA". It matches the Rfam family "Bacterial small subunit ribosomal RNA", at positions 28 to 523 of the family's 1533-position model. The record is from RNAcentral.
GACGAACGCUGGCGGCGUGCUUAACACGUGCAAGUCGAACGGUAAGGCCCUUCGGGGUACACGAGUGGCGAACGGGUGAGUAACACGUGGGUGUUCUGCCCUGCACUUCGGGAUAAGCCUGGGAAACUGGGUCUAAUACCGGAUAGGACCACUGCCUGCAUGGGUGGUGGUGGAAAGCUUUUGCGGUGUGGGAUGGGCCCGCGGCCUAUCAGCUUGUUGGUGGGGUGAUGGCCUACCAAGGCGACGACGGGUAGCCGGCCUGAGAGGGUGACCGGCCACACUGGGACUGAGAUACGGCCCAGACUCCUACGGGAGGCAGCAGUGGGGAAUAUUGCACAAUGGGCGCAAGCCUGAUGCAGCGACGCCGCGUGAGGGAUGACGGCCCUCGGGUUGUAAACCUCUUUCAGCACCGACGAAGCGCAAGUGACGGUAGGUGCAGAAGAAGGACCGGCCAACUACGUGCCAGCCGCCGCGGUAA